AGUGAACGCUGGCGGUAGGCCUAACACAUGCAAGUCGAACGGCAGCACAGUAAGAGCUUGCUCUUACGGGUGGCGAGUGGCGGACGGGUGAGGAAUACAUCGGAAUCUACUUUUUCGUGGGGGACAACGUGGGGAAACUUACGCUAAUACCUCAUACGACCUACGGGUGAAAGCAGGUGUUCUUCGUACCUUGCGCGAUUGAAUGAGCCGAUGUCGGUUUAGUUAGUUGGCGGGGUAAAGGCCCACCAAGGCGACGAUCCGUAGCUGGUCUGAGAGGAUGAUCAGCAAAACUGGAACUGAGAAACGGUCCAGACUCCUACGGGAGGAACCAGUGGGGAAUAUUGGACAAUGGGCGCAAGCCUGAUCCAGCCAUACCGCGUGGUUGAAGAAGGCCUUCGGGUUGUAAAGCCCUUUUGUUGGGAAAGAAAAGCAGCAGGUUAAUAACCCGCUGUUCUGACGGUACCCAAAGAAUAAGCAACGGCUAACUUCGUG
RNAcentral lists this ribosomal RNA (492 nucleotides) under uncultured bacterium. Its description in RNAcentral is "partial 16S ribosomal RNA". It matches the Rfam family "Bacterial small subunit ribosomal RNA", at positions 29 to 507 of the family's 1533-position model. The record is from RNAcentral.